AAAAGCUCGUAGUUGGAUCUCAGCUCCGGCCGGACGGUCCGCCUACCGGUGGUUACUGUUCGUCGCCGAGCGUUCAGGCGGUUAUUCUUGAUGAUCUUCACCGGUUGUCUCGGGUGACCGCCAAGUUUACUUUGAAAAAAUUAGAGUGCUCAAAGCAGGCGCGACGCCUGAAUAAUUGUGCAUGGAAUAAUGGAAUAGGACCUCGGUUCUAUUUUGUUGGUUUUCGGAACACGAGGUAAUGAUUAAGAGGGACAGACGGGGGCAUUCGUAUUGCGACGCUAGAGGUGAAAUUCUUGGACCGUCGCAAGACGAACUACUGCGAAAGCAUUUGCCAAGAAUGUUUCCAUUAAUCAAGAACGAAAGUCAGAGGUUCGAAGGCGAUCAGAUACCGCCCUAGUUCUGACCAUAAACGAUGCCAGCCAGCAAUCCGCCUGUGUUCCUCAAAUGACACGGCGGGCGGCUUCCGGGAAACCAAAGCUUUUGGGUUCCGGGGGAAGUAUGGUUGCAAAGCUGAAACUUAAAGGAAUUGACGGAAGGGCACCACCAGAAAUGGAGCCUGCGGCUUAAUUUGACUCAACACGGGAAAACUUACCCGGCCCGGACACAGGAAGGAUUGACAGAUUAAGAGCUCUUUCUUGAUUCUGUGGGUGGUGGUGCAUGGCCGUUCUUAGUUGGUGGGGCGACUUGUCUGGUUAAUUCCGAUAACGAACGAGACUCUAGCCUACUAAAUAGACGUUCCGAUCCUCUUUCGUCGGACGUUCUUCUUAGAGGGACAAGCGGCGUUUAGCCGCACGAGACAGAGCAAUAACAGGUCUGGGAUGCCCUUAGAUGUCCGGGGCCGCACGCGCGCUACAUUGAAGGAAUCAGCGUGUGCUUUCCCUGUCCGACAGGACUGGGUAACCCGUUGAACCUCCUUCGUGCUGGGGAUUGGAGAUUGUAAUUGUCCUCCAUGAACGAGGAAUUCCCAGUAAGCACGAGUCAUCAGCUCGUGUUGAUUACGUCCCUGCCCUUUGUCCACACCGCCCGUCGCUACUACCGAUUGAAUGAUUUAGUGAGGUCUUCGGACUGGCGCUCGGAUUGGCCUCCGCGGUCGAGCCGGUGUGCCGGAAAGAUGACCAAACUUGAUCAUUUAGAGGAAGUAAAAGUCGUAACAAGGUUUU
RNAcentral lists this ribosomal RNA (1160 nucleotides) under Acroaspis olorina. RNAcentral describes it as "SSU rRNA". It matches the Rfam family "Eukaryotic small subunit ribosomal RNA", at positions 622 to 1803 of the family's 1831-position model. Lineage: Eukaryota; Metazoa; Arthropoda; Arachnida; Araneae; Araneidae. The record is from RNAcentral.